AUGAAACUCCAAAUUGGCCUGGACAGCCUGGCAACAGGGGCAAGUACGACAACCAGCACUGCGGAGAGAAUCAAGCUGGCGCCAGACAGCAGAACUCUGUGCAUAGAAGUCAUCAACAGUAGAGUCACCCUGCUGAAGAGCAUGCUCCUGACGGACCACAAAAAGGUACAAGGCAUCACCAAAGGGCUGAUAGCGCUGACGAAGACGGGUCCACAUCUCAAAGACAGUAGGAAGACCCAGAAACUCAAAAGCAAACUGAGGCAGAACACUAGCAGUGAGAACAGCUGCAGCACGAGCAUCAUCAUCAAGCCACUGGGUGUAAACAGACAGAGCACCAUGAUACGUCUGAAGAGCCUCCUCAUAAGCCAAAACCCUCUCAUCAUAAGCACGAUCAGCAGCCUCAUCAGCAAGCUUAGCCGCAUCCUUGGCGGCCUGAUUAGCAUCCGUAGGAAGAACCGAUGGAGUCGACGGAGUGGGGGCCACCGGAGGAACCGGACGUGGCGGACAGCAGACCUCGCCAGAAAGAACACCCCAGAGACGGAUGCCACGCAUGUGAAUGCGCAUGAAGCCAGUGAACUCGGUGUAGUUAGUACCAUCAAAGAUCACCGGGCAGCGAGGGACAGCAACAUAGCCCGAUGCAGCAGACAUUUUUUUUUAGAUCCGACGAGAGCACCAGCGACAGCAGACUACCAGCAGCGGAAUCAGGCGCGAGCAGGGAGUAGCGACUUCAGGGCAGGAACGGGCGACUGGAUCAGGCGGGCGCUGGCGGAACGAGCGACCGGAACGGAUCGGGCGCUGGCUUCGAGCGGGAGCAGCUUCGACUGGAUCGAGCGACCGGAACGGGCGGGCACUGGCGAAACGAGCGACCGGACCGGAUCGGGUGCUGGCUUCGAGCGGGAGCAGCUUCGAGCGGGAGCAGAUCGGGACUCCAGAAGAGCAGGAGCAGCUUCGAGCGGGAGAUCGGGGCUUGCGCGAGACUCCAGAAGAGAGUAA
RNAcentral lists this ribosomal RNA (993 nucleotides) under Triticum aestivum (bread wheat). RNAcentral describes it as "partial small subunit ribosomal RNA". Lineage: Eukaryota; Viridiplantae; Streptophyta; Magnoliopsida; Poales; Poaceae. The record is from RNAcentral.